Molecule: ribosomal RNA, 640 nt
Filed under: uncultured archaeon
Lineage: Archaea
Description: bacterial SSU rRNA
Rfam family: Archaeal small subunit ribosomal RNA
Source: RNAcentral
ACACGUAGUUAACUUAACCUAUGGAUGGGGAUAACCUCGGGAAACUGAGAAUAAUACCCAAUAGACCACAGUGCCUGGAAUGGCCUGUGGUUGAAAUGAUUUAUCGCUGUAGGAUAGGACUGCGGCCUAUCAGCUUGUUGGUGAGGUAAUGGCCCACCAAGGCUAUAACAGGUACGGGCUCUGAGAGGAGGGGCCCGGAGAUGGGUACUGAGACACGGACCCAGGCCCUAUGGGGCGCAGCAGGCGAGAAACCUUUGCAAUGUGCGAAAGCACGACAAGGUUAAUCCGAGUGUCUCCUGCUAAAGGAGUCUUUUGUCAGUUGUAGAAUCACUGGUGAAUAAGGGGUGGGCAAGUUCUGGUGUCAGCCGCCGCGGUAAAACCAGCACCUCGAGUGGUCAGGAGGUUUAUUGGGGCCUAAAGCAUCCGUAGCCGGUUGCAUAAGUUUUCGGUUAAAAUCUAUGCGCUCAACGUAUAGGCCGCCGAAAAUACUGUGCAGCUAGGGAGUGGGAGAGGUACACGGUACUCAAUAGGAAGGGGUAAAAUCCUUUGAUCUAUUGAUGACCACCUGUGGCGAAGGCGGUGUACCAGAACACGUUCGACGGUGAGGGAUGAAAGCUGGGGGAGCAAACCGGAUUAGAUA